UACGGGGGGAGCAAGCGUUGUUCGGAUUUACUGGGCGUAAAGGGCGCGUAGGCGGUUCGUUCAGUCAGACGUGAAAUUCCCGGGCUCAACCUGGGGGCUGCGUUUGAUACGUGCGGGCUUGAGUUCGGAAGAGGGUCGUGGAAUUCCCAGUGUAGAGGUGAAAUUCGUAGAUAUUGGGAAGAACACCGGUGGCGAAGGCGGCGACCUGGUCCGAUACUGACGCUGAGGCGCGAAAGCGUGGGGAGCAAACAGG
This 253-nucleotide ribosomal RNA is filed under the name uncultured bacterium. Its description in RNAcentral is "partial 16S ribosomal RNA". It matches the Rfam family "Bacterial small subunit ribosomal RNA", at positions 524 to 776 of the family's 1533-position model. The record is from RNAcentral.